AAGAUCGAGAUGAAUGAAGAAAGAGCAACGACAUAAGAAUGACAGUAAUUCUAUAGCUCAGAAUGCAUGGCAUUUAUUAGUCUAUGGAUCAUAAAAUCCCUGUGGAGAUGGGAAGAAAAAAAAUAGCUUUAAUUUCAUGAAUAAAGAAGGCCACUUGAGGAUCUUUCUGCUGCCAGUGUCCAGUCUUUAUUGCUUACCUGUAAAGAGGAAUCCUGGAAUUCUAACAAUCCCUCAAAAUAAAGUCUCUACUUCUCUAA
Galeopterus variegatus (Sunda flying lemur) is the source of this 257-nucleotide long non-coding RNA. RefSeq lists it as uncharacterized. The transcript has 2 exons. NCBI's taxonomy places the organism in Eukaryota, Metazoa, Chordata, Mammalia, Dermoptera, Cynocephalidae. The record is from RefSeq and is a predicted model, not a curated record.